Molecule: non-coding RNA, 115 nt
Filed under: Marinobacter santoriniensis
Lineage: Bacteria; Pseudomonadati; Pseudomonadota; Gammaproteobacteria; Pseudomonadales; Marinobacteraceae
Description: TPP sequence
Rfam family: TPP riboswitch aptamer (THI element)
About the family: Vitamin B(1) in its active form thiamin pyrophosphate (TPP) is an essential coenzyme that is synthesised by coupling of pyrimidine and thiazole moieties in bacteria. The previously detected thiamin-regulatory element, thi box was extended, resulting in a new, highly conserved RNA secondary structure, the THI element, which is widely distributed in eubacteria and also occurs in some archaea.
Source: RNAcentral
CGCGUCUUGACGGGGUGCUGGUUUCCUCCAUCACGGGAAACCGGCUGAGAUUGCAUCGCAGAACCCGCAACCUGAUCCGGAUAAUGCCGGCGUAGGGAUUAAGACACGACGAUAA